Molecule: non-coding RNA, 519 nt
Organism: Calidris pugnax (ruff)
Lineage: Eukaryota; Metazoa; Chordata; Aves; Charadriiformes; Scolopacidae
Source: the annotation of a RefSeq genome assembly
AUGUGGCUGCUGAGCACUUUCAUCCUGGCAACUGGGUGUUCUUGUGGUUCUGCACUGCUCUUGCAGCAAAGCCCCAUAUCCGUCACCAAGCCAGAAAGCAAAACUGUGCUGAUCACCUGCCACAUCUCUGAUCCAGAUUUUAACAACGUUUUCAUUCACUGGUACCGAAAAAGGCCCAACGCAGCUCCCAAGCGCAUUGCCUACAUAUCCUCCAAGCUCUUCCUUGAAAACCAGUUCAAUGAGGGGAAAUUCAGUAUCGAGAAAGACCCCGCCAAAUCUGUCUGCACUCUGAUGGUGAGCAAAAUAACUCUGCAAGACUCCGCUACCUACUACUGUGCCAGGUGGGAUGCACAGCAGUGGAAAGCCAUAGGGGACCCGCACAAAGACGUGCUCUGCUUCCUGAACCAGCUCCUGAAGCGUUUGGCAACACACAGGAACAUCCCCAGCCGACCUUCCCCACCAGCCUUGCAUCAGACACAGUGUGCAGGCAGCCAGAUACCAAAGGUGCUGCUGGACUAG